CGGACGGGCGAGUAAUGUCUGGGAAACUGCCUGAUGGAGGGGGAUAACUACUGGAAACGGUAGCUAAUACCGCAUAACGUCGCAAGACCAAAGAGGGGGACCUUAGGGCCUCUUGCCAUCGGAUGUGCCCAGAUGGGAUUAGCUAGUAGGUGGGGUAACGACUCACCUAGGCGACGAUCCCUAGCUGGUCUGAGAGGAUGACCAGCCACACUGGAACUGAGACACGGUCCAG
RNAcentral lists this ribosomal RNA (232 nucleotides) under uncultured bacterium. RNAcentral describes it as "partial 16S ribosomal RNA". It matches the Rfam family "Bacterial small subunit ribosomal RNA", at positions 99 to 334 of the family's 1533-position model. The record is from RNAcentral.